GACGAACGCUGGCGGCGUGCCUAAUACAUGCAAGUCGAGCGAGCUUGCCUAGAUGAAUUUGGUGCUUGCACCAGAUGAAACUAGAUACAAGCGAGCGGCGGACGGGUGAGUAAUACGUGGGUAACCUGCUCAAGAGACUGGGAUAACACCUGGAAACAGAUGCUAAUACCGGAUAACAACACUAGACGCAUGUCUAGAGUUUAAAAGAUGGUUCUGCUAUCACUCUUGGAUGGACCUGCGGUGCAUUAGCUAGUUGGUAAGGCAACGGCUUCCCAAGGCAAAGAUUCAUAGCCGAGUUGAGAGGCUGAUCGGCCACAAUGGGACUGAGACACGGCCCAAACUCCUACGGGAGGCAGCCGUAGGGAAUCUUCCGCAAUGGGCGCAAGUCUGAUGGAGCAACGCCGCGUGAGUGAAAAAGGGUUUCGGCUCUGAAAGCUCUGUUGGUAGUGAAGAAAGAUAGAGGUAGUAACUCGCCUUUAUUUGACGGUAAUUACUUAGAAAGUCACGGCUAACUACGUG
RNAcentral lists this ribosomal RNA (519 nucleotides) under uncultured bacterium. RNAcentral describes it as "partial 16S ribosomal RNA". It matches the Rfam family "Bacterial small subunit ribosomal RNA", at positions 28 to 507 of the family's 1533-position model. The record is from RNAcentral.